GAGGGCAGGCCCCUCGUAACCGUCUUACAGGAGAUGGUUACAAACCAGUGUAUGCUGCUUUGUUUAAGAGACAAGGUGGUGAGCGAUACACCAAAAGGCGAUAUAAAUCGUCAGGU
Non-coding RNA from Macellibacteroides sp. HH-ZS, 116 nucleotides. The record is from Rfam. Lineage: Bacteria; Pseudomonadati; Bacteroidota; Bacteroidia; Bacteroidales; Porphyromonadaceae.